This 497-nucleotide ribosomal RNA is filed under the name uncultured bacterium. Its description in RNAcentral is "partial 16S ribosomal RNA". It matches the Rfam family "Bacterial small subunit ribosomal RNA", at positions 28 to 507 of the family's 1533-position model. The record is from RNAcentral.
GAUGAACGCUGGCGGCGUGCCUAAUACAUGCAAGUCGAGCGAACGGACGAGAAGCUUGCUUCUCUGAUGUUAGCGGCGUACGGGUGAGUAACACGUGGAUAACCUACCUAUAAGACUGGGAUAACUUCGGGAAACCGGAGCUAAUACCGGAUAAUAUUUUGAACCGCAUGGUUCAAAAGUGAAAGACGGUCUUGCUGUCACUUAUAGAUGUAUCCGCACUGCAUUAGCUAGUUGGUAAGGUAACGGCUUACCAAGGCAACGGUGCAUAGCCGACCUGAGAGGGUGAUCGACCACACUGGAACUGAGACACGGUCCAGACUCCUACGGGAGGCAGCAGUAGGGAAUCUUCCGCGAUGGGCGAAAGCCUGACGGAGCAACGCCGCGUGAGUGAUGAAGGUCUUCGGAUCGUAAAACUCUGUUAUUAGGGAAGAACAUAUGUGUAAGUAACUGUGCACAUCUUGACGGUACCUAAUCAGAAAGCCACGGCUAACUACGUG